AUGUCUUCUUAUUCUUCCGCGUUGUCUUCUCUCCGACCUCUUGAUUCGCCUGUUAAUGUUCUUACUGCCGAUGGCACAUCUUUUCCUGUUGCUAGUCGUGGUAUUCUUUCCACUCCAUCUUUUUCUGUUCCGAGUGUUUCACAUGUUCCUCGCCCUACCAUGAAUCUUUUUUCCGCUGCCCAACUUACUGAUUCUUGUUGUCGUUUCAUUCUGGAUACCGACUCUUGCUCCAUUCAGGAUCGUCGCACCAAGGCUUUUGUUGGUGCUGGCCCCCGAAGCCGUGAGUCAAAGGGCUUUGGGAGGUUGACUGGCUUUGUGUUCCUUCCGCUGCCACCACUUCUGCCAGCUCUCAUGCUCUUGCUGCCUCUUCGUCCGCGUCCUUCCAGCAGUGGCAUCAUCGACUUGGUCACAUCUGUGGCUCUCGCUUGUCUUCCUUAG
Molecule: ribosomal RNA, 438 nt
Filed under: Triticum aestivum (bread wheat)
Lineage: Eukaryota; Viridiplantae; Streptophyta; Magnoliopsida; Poales; Poaceae
Description: partial small subunit ribosomal RNA
Source: RNAcentral